Molecule: ribosomal RNA, 405 nt
Filed under: Triticum aestivum (bread wheat)
Lineage: Eukaryota; Viridiplantae; Streptophyta; Magnoliopsida; Poales; Poaceae
Description: partial small subunit ribosomal RNA
Source: RNAcentral
AUGAAAGAAUCGGAAGGGGUUUGUGAAUUUGCGUUGAAGCUAACUUCCCUGGUUAAUGAGAUGCGAGCUCUCAGAUCAAAGAUGGAGGACAUCGUGGUUGUGGAGAAAUUACUACGAGUCAUUCCCAACAAGUUUUUACCGAUCGUUGGCACCAUAGAGCAGUGGAGCGAUGUGACAAAGAUGUUGGUGAUGGAGGUGAUCGGGCGGCUGAAGACCUAUGAGUUGACGUUGAAGGGGUGUGAACGCAAUCAAGAACAAGAGCAGUUGAUGUUCUCGCGUAGAAGUACCAAAAGUUCGACAAAUCUAAAAUCCGUUGCUACAAUUAUCAGGACUAUGGACACUAUUCUCGAGAGUGUCCUAAUCCAAGGAAGGAGGCAAAGAAGGAGCAUGGGACUCUACAACUAG